GACGAACGCUGGCGGCGUGCUUACACCUCAGAAAAAAGGGAUGUGGCGAACGGGUGAGUAACGCGUAAUCAACCUGCCCGUCAGAGGGGGACAACAGUUGGAAACGACUGCUAAUACCUAAUACUGUGAGAGAGCUUUGCGUCCCAUUAGGUAGUUGGAGAGGUAACGGCUCACCAAGGCGCUGAUGGGUAGCCGGCCUGAGAGGGUGUUCAGCCACAAGGGGACUGGGACACGGCCCUUACUGCUACGGGAGGCAGGAGUGGGGAAUAGUGUACAAUGGACCAAAGUCUGUUCCGGCAAUUCUGUGUGAACGAUGAAGUUUUCGGAGUGUAAAGUGCUUUCAGUUGGGAAGCGGUACCAACAGAAGAAGUGACGGCUAAAUACGUGCCAGCCGCCGCGGUAAUAC
RNAcentral lists this ribosomal RNA (406 nucleotides) under uncultured bacterium. RNAcentral describes it as "partial 16S ribosomal RNA". It matches the Rfam family "Bacterial small subunit ribosomal RNA", at positions 28 to 526 of the family's 1533-position model. The record is from RNAcentral.